UUCGGUCUGCACAUGCACUCACUUACGACCUUGUUUUCCUGGAUACUGCAAGGGAGAUAACACCUGCCAGUGUUUGAAUAAUUUCUCCCCACAAAACUCAAAAGGGAUAGGAAACUGCCUUAACUUUCCCAGCAGUCCCGAAUACUACUAUCCAGCAAUCGAACAGAGUACAAUAAAAUUUGGUUUUAACAGUCAGACGGAGAACAUGCUAAUAUUCAACAAGACGGUUGAUUUAGCCAUAAACAAAGGGAAUACGGAGGUUUUCUGGACUAAUCGAAGAGACUUUAACACAAUAAACUUCACCUUUCAGUCGAUUUUAGGGUCCGCUUCUUUGAAUCUAUCUGCAAGGCCUCAUUAUGUAAUUAAACAUGAAUUCGGAAUAGUAGAAGCAGACAUUUAUGUUGUACAGAAGAAGAUAAAUGGUCGAGUAAAUUACAGUACCACUUUGCCUUGUGAUGGAGUUAGCAGAGACAAUCCUAGACAUGACAUUCUUGUUGAGUGCAAAUAGAGUAUCGCUUCAUUUGAUUUAAGC
Long non-coding RNA from Saccostrea cuccullata (small rock oyster), 532 nucleotides. RefSeq lists it as uncharacterized. The record is from RefSeq and is a predicted model, not a curated record. The transcript has 3 exons. NCBI's taxonomy places the organism in Eukaryota, Metazoa, Mollusca, Bivalvia, Ostreida, Ostreidae.